UACGAAGGGGGCUAGCGUUGUUCGGAUUUACUGGGCGUAAAGCGCGCGUAGGCGGGUCGCUAAGUCAGGGGUGAAAUCCCGAGGCUUAACCUCGGAACUGCCUUUGAUACUGACGACCUGGAGAUCGGGAGAGGUUGGUGGAAUUCCGAGUGUAGAGGUGAAAUUCGUAGAUAUUCGGAGGAACACCAGAAGCGAAGGCGGCCAACUGGCCCGAUACUGACGCUGAGGCGCGAAAGCGUGGGGAGCAAACAGG
RNAcentral lists this ribosomal RNA (253 nucleotides) under Hyphomicrobiales bacterium. Its description in RNAcentral is "partial 16S ribosomal RNA". It matches the Rfam family "Bacterial small subunit ribosomal RNA", at positions 524 to 776 of the family's 1533-position model. RNAcentral also lists the same sequence under 2 other names. Lineage: Bacteria; Pseudomonadati; Pseudomonadota; Alphaproteobacteria; Hyphomicrobiales. The record is from RNAcentral.